CUAAAAGCUAUGAAAGAGUAAAGUAAUUUUAACUAAAGUUUACAGAGAGCCGGGGUUUGCUGGGAGCCUGGUAGCAAAGGUUAAGAUGAAGUUCCCUCUGGAGUUGUCUGCUGAACUACAAGUAGGUAAGACCGGGUCUUCCGCCGUUAUAAGGAAGGGGAUAUUAAGACGAACUGUUUACAGUUGGUUGCGUAUCCUUUAAGUGGGUCUUAUUGGCCAACAAAGGUGGUACCGCGAGUUAACCUCUCGUCCUUUUU
RNAcentral lists this non-coding RNA (257 nucleotides) under Clostridiaceae bacterium. RNAcentral's name for it is "T-box sequence". It matches the Rfam family "T-box leader". Rfam says of the family: Uncharged tRNA acts as the effector for transcription antitermination of genes in the T-box leader family. The record is from RNAcentral. Lineage: Bacteria; Bacillati; Bacillota; Clostridia; Eubacteriales; Clostridiaceae.